AUCUUAUGAUUUAUAUUCUUAUUUUAAAAAAAAUUUUUAUAGAAUGGAAAUUUUUGAAUAAAGUAUUAGGAAAAAUAAAUUCCCAGUAUUCUAAUGAUCCUUCCGCAGGUUCACCUACGGAAA
This 123-nucleotide unclassified non-coding RNA is filed under the name uncultured fungus. Its description in RNAcentral is "sequence contains ITS1". The record is from RNAcentral. Lineage: Eukaryota; Fungi.